This 927-nucleotide ribosomal RNA is filed under the name uncultured bacterium. RNAcentral describes it as "bacterial SSU rRNA". It matches the Rfam family "Bacterial small subunit ribosomal RNA", at positions 1 to 917 of the family's 1533-position model. RNAcentral also lists the same sequence under 1 other name. The record is from RNAcentral.
UUGGAUCCAGACUUUGAUUCUGGCUCAGGAUGAACGCUAGCUACAGGCUUAACACAUGCAAGUCGAGGGGAAACGACAUCGAAAGCUUGCUUUUGAUGGGCGUCGACCGGCGCACGGGUGAGUAACGCGUAUCCAACCUGCCCAUCACUUGGGGAUAACCUUGCGAAAGUAAGACUAAUACCCAAUGAUAUCCCACGAAGGCAUCUGAAUGGGAUUAAAGAUUUAUCGGUGAUGGAUGGGGAUGCGUCUGAUUAGCUUGUUGGCGGGGUAACGGCCCACCAAGGCAACGAUCAGUAGGGGUUCUGAGAGGAAGGUCCCCCACAUUGGAACUGAGACACGGUCCAAACUCCUACGGGAGGCAGCAGUGAGGAAUAUUGGUCAAUGGGCGAGAGCCUGAACCAGCCAAGUAGCGUGCAGGAUGACGGCCCUAUGGGUCGUAAACUGCUUUUAUAAGGGAAUAAAGUGAGUCUCGUGAGACUUUUUGCAUGUACCUUAUGAAUUAGGACCGGCUAAUUCCGUGCCAGCAGCCGCGGUAAUACGGAAGGUCCGGGCGUUAUCCGGAUUUAUUGGGUUUAAAGGGAGCGUAGGCCGGAGAUUAAGCGUGUUGUGAAAUGUAGUGGCUCAACCUCUGCACUGCAGCGCGAACUGGUCUUCUUGAGUACGCACAACGUGGGCGGAAUUCGUGGUGUAGCGGUGAAAUGCUUAGAUAUCACGAAGAACUCCGAUUGCGAAGGCAGCUCACGGGAGCGCAACUGACGCUGAAGCUCGAAAGUGCGGGUAUCGAACAGGAUUAGAUACCCUGGUAGUCCGCACGGUAAACGAUGGAUGCCCGCUGUUGGCCUGAAUAGGUCAGCGGCCAAGCGAAAGCAUUAAGCAUCCCACCUGGGGAGUACGCCGGCAACGGUGCAACUCAAAUGAAUUGACGGA